GGUAGUAAAAGUCGUAACAAGGUUCCCGUAGGUGAACCUGCGGAAGGAUCAUUCAUAAUAAAGUGUUUUAUGGCACUUUUUAAAAAUCCAUAUCCACCUUGUGUGCAAUGUUAGAUCUCGUCAAUCUUGGCGAGAUUUUUAUACAUCAACUCAUUCUUUAACUAAUUUGUCUGAAAAAUAUUAUGAAUACUUAAUUCAAAAUACAACUUUCAACAACGGAUCUCUUGGCUCUC
This 233-nucleotide unclassified non-coding RNA is filed under the name plant metagenome. RNAcentral's name for it is "partial contains small subunit ribosomal RNA, internal transcribed spacer 1, and 5.8S ribosomal RNA". The stretch from base 1 to 54 matches the Rfam family "Eukaryotic small subunit ribosomal RNA", at positions 1778 to 1831 of the family's 1831-position model. The record is from RNAcentral.